RNAcentral lists this ribosomal RNA (500 nucleotides) under uncultured bacterium. Its description in RNAcentral is "bacterial SSU rRNA". It matches the Rfam family "Bacterial small subunit ribosomal RNA", at positions 29 to 508 of the family's 1533-position model. The record is from RNAcentral.
AACGAACGCUGGCGGCGUGGAUAAGACAUGCAAGUCGAACGGGACAACAUUUGUAGCAAUACGGAUGUUGUUUAGUGGCGAACGGGUGCGUAACACGUGGGGAAUCUGCCGAGAAGUGGGGGAUAGCUCGCCGAAAGGCGAAUUAAUACCGCAUGUGAUCAGGGAAGACAUCUUUCCGACAUCAAAGCCGGGGCAACCUGGCGCUUCUUGAUGACCCCGCGGCCUAUCAGCUAGUUGGUGAGGUAACGGCCCACCAAGGCGAUGACGGGUAGCUGGUCUGAGAGGACGACCAGUCACACUGGAACUGAGACACGGUCCAGACACCUACGGGUGGCAGCAGUCGAGAAUUUUUCUCAAUGGGGGCAACCCUGAAGGAGCGACGCCGCGUGGAGGAUGAAGGCUUUCGGGUUGUACACUCCUGUCAUUUGAGAACAAUGGCUACGCGUUAACCGCGCGGAGCUUGAUAGUAUCAGAAGAGGAAGGGACGGCUAACUCUGUGC